CGGGAUUAGGUCCCGUUGGAAUGUGGUCCUGUAGGGCAGGGCUGAACCAUGAA
The submitters of this non-coding RNA (53 nucleotides) gave its source as unclassified sequences. The record is from Rfam.